UAUUGGUGUUGAACAUCUUUAUAUGUGCUUAGUUGCCAUCUUCACAUCCUCUUUGGUAAAAUUUUUAAGUCUUUUGUUCGCUUUUUUAUUGAAGCCAUCUUUCACCAUUGUGAUAUUGGAUAUGUUUUUUUUUUUGUUUAUUUUUAUAGAUGCUUGUUAGCAAUUUAAAUAAUUUGUCUUCUAUUUCUACUUUGCUUGGGGUUUUUUUUUUUGUUUUCAUGAAAGGAUAUUGAACUUUUCAAGCAGUUUUUCUGCAUUAACUUAUAUAAUUGUGUGUGGUUUUUCUUCUUUGGCCUGUUCAUAUGGAAAUUAUGUUAAAUGAUUUUCAAAUUUAAACCAUUCUUACAGUCUUGAAAAUAAUCCCAUGUAAUUGUGGUGAAUUAUUCUUUUUAUUGCUGGAAUCAGUUUGUUCGUAUUCUGUUGAGGAUACUGUUUCUAUGUUAAUGAUGGAUGAUGGACUCUAAUUUUCUUCUCUUUUUCAUUGACUCAAGAAUGAACCUAGACUACACAUUCAACUUUAUAGUACUGCUUCCUUAAGUUUCUUCUUCACCAUGAUCUCUGUGACAUUUUCGGGCCCCCAGGAACCUCUACUGGUCUUGUGACUGGAAAGCUGGAGUUUGCUUUUCCCUACUCUAUGGCAUAUUUGGGGCUUCCCUGGUGGCUCAGAUUGUAAAGAAUCCACCUGCAAUUCGGGAGUCCUGGGUUUGAUCCCUGGUCAGGAAGAUCCCCUGGAGAAGGGAAUGGCAACCCACUCUAGUAUUCUUGCCUAGAGAAUCUCAUGGACAGAAGAGCCUGAUGGGCUAUAGUCCAUGGGGUCACAAACUGUCGGACACGACCAAGUGACUAACACUAACCUAUCCUAUGGCAUAUUUCUGACUUUGUCGACCUUCAAAGCCAAGCAGGAGGAGGGAAAGAUAGAGAUAAAAAUCAAUGCAAAAGACUCCUGUACUCUUGGAACUAUAGUCCUUUUGGUCAGAGGGAAGGGUUCUGUUCCCUUGUAGUUUUAGGUUCCUGUUCAGCUGCUGUUGCCAUUGCUGUCACUAUCACCAUCAUAGCGAUGCUUUUGAAUUUUGGUACCUACAGGUUUAGGUGGAGAAGAUAGAAAUAACUAAAAAUAUGGGGGAUUCCCUCUAUUAUCUCUGAGCUUUAUGGGUCCUCUUGCUUCUUCUCAAACAAGGAAGAGAGAGUUUCUUUUAGAGAUCUUUUUCACCACCCGUAGUACACAGUUCCAGGUUUCAUUGCCUUUAAUUACAGACUAAGGGACAGUGGAGUAGGAAAAGAUAACAGGAAAUUUGCCCAUGAAUCUAUCUUAUUUGGAGUUUUGAUUUUCUUAUGCAAUUUUCCUAUUUUUUCCCUCCAAAAUCUUUAAUAGCUCCUCCAUAUAUUUUUUUUUUCUAUCAUUUUUAGUUGUAUUCAGUGGAAAUAACCGGAGAAGGCAAGAGUACUGGAGUGGGGCGCCAUUGCCUUCUCCGUAUGAAUAUCUAAAUAGAUGCAAAAACUUUUGACAAAAUUCAACAUCAAUUCUCAACCAAAUGGGUAUCAAAGGAACAUUCCUCAACAUAAGAAGAGCCAUAUAUGACAAACCCACAGCUGUCACCAUAUUCAAUGAUAAAAAGCUGAAAGCAUUUUCUGUAAAAUCAGGACCAAGACAAGGACCCCCACUUCUGCCAUUUUUAUUCUAAAUAUUGGAAGUCCUAGUCACAGUAAUCAGACAAGAAAAAUAAAUAAAAUGAAUCCAAAUUGGAAGUGAAGAAGGAAAACUUUCACUCUUUGUAGAGGACAUAAUGUUAUGUAUAGAAAACUUGGAAAACACCACCAAAAAAUUAUUAGGACUAAUAAAUUCAGUAAAGUUGCAGGAUGCAAAAUUAAUAUAUGAAACUCUUUUGUGUCUCUACAUUAACAGUGAACUAUCAGAAAGAGAAAUUAAUAAAGCAGUCUCAUUUAUAAUUGUAUAAAAAAAAAUACCUGGGAAUAAGUAUAACCAAGGAGGUAAAAGAUCUGUACUUGGAAACUAUAAGAUGUUGAUGAAAGAAGUUGAAGAUGGCAUAAAUGGAAAGACAGAUCAUCCUCGUGGAUUAGUACUGAUAUUGUUAAAAUGACCAUACUACCCAAAGCCAUAUACAGAUUUAAUGCAACCCUUGUUAAAAUACCACUGGAAUUUUUUUCACAGAACUAGAACAAAUAAUUCCAAAAUUUGUAGACCCCAAAUGCCUUGAGAAAAAAGAACAAGGUUGGAAGUAUCAUGGUUCCUGAUUAAAAAUUAUACUACAAAACUACAUUCAUAAAAACAAUAUGGUACUGGCACAAAAACAGACACAUAUGUAAUAGAGAUGCAAUGUAAUAGACACAAUGUAAUAGAGAGCCCAGAAAUGAAUCUACACUUAUAUGGGCAAUUAAUCUAUGAGAAAGGAGGCAAGACAAUAUCUUCAAAAACGGAUGCUGGCGAAACUAGACAGCUGUAUGCAAAAGAACCAGGUUGGACCACUUUGUUACUUCAUACACAAAAACAAACUUAAAAUGGGUUAAAAGCUAAAUGCAAGACCUGAAACCAUAAACAUCUUAGCAGAAAAUAUAAGCUGAAUACUCUUUAACACUAGUCUUAGCAAUAUCUUUUUGUAUGUAUCUCCUCAGGCAAGGGAAACAAAAAUAAACAAAUGGAACUACUUCAAGUCAAAAAGUUUUUGCCCAGGGAAAGAAACUAUCAACAAAAUGAAAGCACUGCUUACUGAAUGGGAGAAGAUAGUUGCAAAUGAUAUAUCUGAUAAGGGAUUUAUGACCAAAAUAUACAAAAAACUCAUACAACUCAACAUUAAUAAAAAAAAAAAAACAAAAAACCACAACUCUAACAGAAAAUGGGCAGAAGACCUGAAUAAACAUUUUUUUCCAAAGAAGACAUACAAAUGGCUAACAGGCAUGUGAGAAGAUGCCCAAUAUUACUAAUUAUUAGGGAAAUACAAAUCAAAGCUACAAUGAGAUACUGCCUCACACCCAUUGGAACGGCGAUCAUCAAAAAGACCACAAAGGAUGUGGAGAAAAAGGCACCCGCGUGCAGUAUUGGAAGGACUGUGAACUGGCACAGCUACUAUGGAAAACAGUACGAAGUUUCCUCAAAAAAUUAAAAAUAAAACUACCAUGUGAUCCAGCAAGUCCACUUUGGGGUAUUUUUUUCAAAGAAAACAAAAACACUAACUCUAAAAGAUACAGGUACCCAUAUGUUCAUCGCAGCAUUAGCCAAGAUAUGGAAGUAACUUAAAUGUUCAUUCUCGAUAGAUGAAUGGACAAAGAAGAUUAGAUAGACAGAAGAUAGAUAUACAAUAGACUAUUACACAGCCCUCAACCCACAAUGAAAUCUUGUCAUCUGUGGCAACACGAUGGACCUAGAGGCUCUCAUGCUAAGUGAGGUGAGUCGGAUAGAGAAAGGGAAAUACGAUAUGCCUUCAUUUACAUGCGGAAGCCAAAACACAAAAGAAGUGAACGAAUAUAACAAAACAGAAAUAGACUAAUACAUACAGAGAAAAGGUGAUUGCCAGAGCGGGGAGGAAAACAAAACAAAACAAACCCCCGAGAUGGUAACUAUGGGAGGGAAUGAUUUCUAAUUAGCUUGAUUGUGGUGAUCACUUUACAAUGUGUAUUUAUAUGAAACAACCAUGCUGUACACCUUCAAUGCAUAUUUUUGUCAAUUAUAUCUCAAUUAAGUUGAAAAAAGAAAAAAAAAAUGUAUCCUUCACCCGGAUUAAGCUCCUCUGUGCUGGAGAAGGCAAUGGCACCCCACUCCAGUACUCUUGCCUGGAAAAUCCCAUGGACGGAGGAGACUGGAGGGCUGCAGUCCAUGGGGUCGCUAAGAGUCAUAUACGACUGAGCGACUUCACUUUCACUUUUCACCUUCAUGCAUUGGAGAAGAAAAUGGCAACCCACUCCAGUGUUCUUGCCUGGAGAACCCCAGGGACGGGGGAGCCUGGUGGGCUGCCGUCUAAGGGGUCGCACAGAGUCGGACACGACUGAAAUGACUUAGCAGCAGCAGCAGCAGCAGCUGCUGGUUAAGAUCACGCUCAGUUAGGGUAGGUGUGGGUGAUCAGCUUUUUCUUCCUUGUCUCCUCAUCUUGUUUCCGUCUACUGCGCUGGCCAGCCUCUAAUUCCUGGUUGACUCAAGGAGGCAGGAAGAUAAAGGGAAUAGAGAAGGUUUUACUAGGUCUGUACUACUGUCAUCUGGUUUGGUGCCCUCUGGGUGUGUGGCUCAUGUUCAAAUGCUCAUCCCCCACCCCUACACAUAUACACAGUAUGGACGUGUAGUGUAGUCUUCUGUGGUUUGUAGUUUUCUGCCCUGGACUGUGCUUCCUCCAGCUGGAACCUAUGACUCCUUCCUGGUUCCAAAGUGCACCCCACACAUACCCUCUACUGUGUUAUCUCAUUCUCUGGGAUGGCCUCUGGGCAGAGUCCUGUUCAAGAUUGUGCUUCCUCUUGGGAAGUUCAUGGCUGACCCGUGGUGAGAUUUGCUUUUCUUUGUCUCUGGAAGUGCAGCUGGUUUGCCUUCUUCCUCUAUCAGCGAGAAGUGAAGUGAAGUUGCUCAGUUGUGUAUGAUUCUUUGCGAUCCUAUGGACUAUAGCUUACCAGGCUCCUCCAUCCAUGGCAUUUUCCUCUGGGGUGCUAACAGUCCCACCUGAACCACUUCCCAACUCAGUGUUCACAAUUCAGCUCUUGUCAAGCCCCUUGCAUAAGUACAAGUUCAACUUGUCCACAUUUCACUAAGUAAGCCAGAUAUGUUCCAUGGAGAACAUUGUACUGAUGUAUUUGGAAUUACCUAACUUGAUGAGAGAAGGUGCUAACAGAAUCAGAAGAGAUUAAGAGAGAUGUGCUGUGCUUGUGCUUAGUCACUCAGUUGUGUCCGACUCUUUGUGAGCCCAUGGACUGUAGCCCUCCCGGCUCCUCUAUCCAUGGGAAUUCUCUAGGCAAGAAUACUGGAGUGGGUUGCCAUGGCCUCCUCCAGGGGAUCUUCCCCACCCAGGAAUUGAACUGGGAUCUCCUACAUUGCAGGCAGAUUCUUUACCAGCUGAGCUACCAGGGAAGCCCCAGGGAAGCUACCAGGGAAGAGAGGUGGCAAGAUUACAAAAUGGUACAAAAAGGUCUUAAUGAACCGGAAAAAGCACAAUGGUGUGACCACUCACCUAGAGCCAGACAUCCUGGAGUACAAAGUCAAGUGGGCGUUAAGAAGCAUUAUUAAAAAAAUGCUUUAAUUUUUUCUAAAUUAAAAAAUUUAAUUUUUUAAUUAAAUUAAAAAAUUUAAAGCUAGUGGAGGUGAUGCAAUUAUGGUUGAGCUAUUUCAAAUCCCAGAAGAUGAUGCUGAUAAAGUGCUGCAUUCAAUAUGUCAACAAAUUAGGAAAACUCAGCAGUGGCCACAGGACUGGAAAAGGUCAGUUUUCAUCCCAAUUCCAAAGAAAAGCAAUGCCAAAGAAUGCUCAAACUACUGUACAAUUGUGCUCAUUUCACAUGCUAGCAAGUUAAUGUUCAAAGUCAUUCAAGCUAGGCUUCAACAGUACAUGAACCAAGAACUUCCAGACCUACAAGUUGGAUUUAGAAAAGGCAGAGGAACCAGAGAUCAAAUUGCCAACAAAUGUUGGAUCAAAGAAAAAGCAAGAGAAUUCCAGAAAAACAUCUAUUUCUGCUUCACUGAAUACACUAAAGCCUUUGACUGUGUGGAUCACAAUAAACUGUGGGAAAUUCUGAAAGAGUUGGGAAUACCACCACCUUACCUGUCUCCUGAGAAACCUGUAUGCAGGUCAAGAAGCAACAGUUAGAAUUGGACAUGGAACAACGGACUGGUUCAAAAUUGAGAAAGGAGUAUGUUAAGGCUGUAUAUUGUCACCCUGUUUAUUUAACUUAUAUGCAGAGUACAUCAUGCAAAAUGCUGGGCUGAACGAAGCUCAAACAGAAAUCAAGAUUGCUGGGAGAAAUAUCAAUAACUUCAGAUAUCCACGCUAUGGCAGAAAGUGGAGAGGAACUAAAGAGCCUCUUGAUGAAAGUGAAAGAGGAGAAUGAAAAAGCUGGCUUAAAACUUAACAUUCAGAAAACUAAGAUCAUGGCAUCUGGUCCCAUCACUUUAUGGCAAACAGAUGGGGAAAAAGUGGAAACUGUGACAGAUUUUAUUUUCUUGGGCUCCAAAAUCAUUGCAGGUGGUGACUGCAGCCAUGAAAUUAAAAGAUGCUUGCUCUGUGGAAGGAAAGCUAUGACAAACCUAGACAGUAUAUUAAAAAGUAGAGACAUCACUUUGCUGACAAAGGUCCAUAUAGUCAAAGCUGUGGUUUUUCCAGUAGUCAUGUAUGGAUGGGAAAGUUGGACCAUAAGGAAGGCUGAGUGCUAAAGAAUUGAUGCUUUCCAAUUGUGAUGCUGGAGAAGACUCUGGGACAGCAAAGAGAUCAAACUAGUCAAUUCUAAAGGAAAUCAACCCUGAAUAUUCAUUGGAAAGACUGAUGCUGAAACUGAAACUCCAAUACUUUGGCCACCUGAUGUGAAGAGCAGACUCAGUGAAAAAGACCCUGAUGCUGGGAAAGACUGAGGGCAGGAGGAGAAGGGGAUGACAGAGGACAA
Molecule: long non-coding RNA, 6582 nt
Organism: Bos taurus (domestic cattle)
Lineage: Eukaryota; Metazoa; Chordata; Mammalia; Artiodactyla; Bovidae
Source: Ensembl